AACCUGGUUGAUCCUGCCAGUAGUGUAUGCUUCUCCUAAAGACUAAGCCAUGCAUGCAUAAGAAUAUGAAGAAGCACUUCUCUCUGAAUCUGCGAACGGCUCCGCAAACCAGUUGUAAACUACCGCAAGCAAAUCUGUCCACGCCUUCACGGGCAAAGAUCGAUUACAUGGAUACCCCUGGUAAUUCUAAGGCUAAUAUAUGUCUAACGCACUCCUGUCAGCCGGGCUUCGGUCUAGCGGGCGGGAAGGAUGUAUUUUUCGGCUUUGGAGGGGGUUGGAACGAGCAUACACUCGAAUCGUCUGCAAUAAUUGGGUGGGUGGCUGACGCUUCUCUUUCGGGAGGGGUUGACGCUGCAAUACGCCCUGGCGAUUCUUGCUACGUGCUUCUGACCUAUCAACUAGACUGCAGCGUAAUGGACAUGCUAUGGUGACAACGGGUACAGAGGAUUAGGGUUCGAUCCUGGAGAGUGGGCCUGAGAGAUUGCUCAUACUUCUAAGGAAGGCAGCAGGCGCGCAACGUUCCCAUUGGGCAUCGCCCGAGGGCGUUAGGGGACAUAUGAAUGCCUGCCUUAACGGCGGGCAAUUCAAAUGGGUCUGUUCUAAACAGGCUCUCGAGUAACAAUUAGAGGACAAGUCUGGUUGCCAGCACCCGCGGUAAUUCCAGCUCUAAUAGCAUACGUUAAAGUUGUUGCGGUUAAAACGCUCGUAGUCGUCAUCAGACCUUCAGAAGUCCCAACUGAUGUAGCCUAGUCAUGCGGCUCAAGGAGAUUCCGUAGGCCAAAGGGGAAGGACUGACGUUGGCCAAGAGCGUGACUAGCUCCUUCGGGUUAAAUGGUCAAGGACGCUGUGCCCCAAAGGGCGCGGUCUUUGCACCAGGCUGGGGAGCCUCUUACCAUGAUCAAACUGAAGUGCUCGAAGCAGGACGUUAAGUUCUUGGACAGCAUAGCAUGGCAUACCACGAUGGCCUGGUCCUCCAAGCGGGACUGGGUUGUCAGAUGCAAAAGGGGUGUUCGAGGGUGACCGAAUUGCCGGGCGAGUGGUGAAAUACGUUGACCCUGGCAAGUCGACCAAAGGCGAAAGCAGUCAUCAAGGGCACGCCCGUUGAUCAAGAGCGAAAGUUAAGGGUUCGAAAACGAUCAGAUACCGUUGUAGUCUUAACUAUAAAUGAUACUGGCCAGAGGUGGGAUAGUGUCCAUCUCGACUCUUCCUGGAUCUUGGAGAAAUUAGAGUAUCUGAGUUCUGGGGGGAGUAUGGUCGCAAGGCUGAAACUUAAAGGAAUUGACGGAAGGGCACACAAAGAGUGGAACCUGCGGCUUAAUUUGACUCAACACGGGAAAACUCACCAGGUCCGGAUACACGUAUGAAAGACAAGCUGAAAGACUUUUCUCAAUGAUGUAAGUGGUGGUGCAUGGCCGUUCUUAGUUCGUGGAGUGAUCUGUCUGGUCUAUUCCGAUAACGAGCGAGACCCCAACGUUCCUAAUAGGGUAGGCAGCCCAGCUUGCUCCUUGGCCUCACGGCUGGAGCUUGCUAGCAGCCUAUAAAAUCAAACUUCUUAGACGGAUCAGAGCCGAUAAGGUUCUUGAAAUGGGUUAAUAACAGGUCAGUCAUGCCCUUAGAUGUUCUGGGCCGCACGCGCGUUACAAUGGCAGGGAAAGCAAGUGCCUAAUUAGGGCAUAUCCGCGGCCUAACGGCUGCUGUAACCCUUAAUCCCUGCCCUGACUGGGACAGUCUAUUGUUACUAUUGGUCUCGAACGAGGAAUUUUUAGUAGUCGCAGGUCAUUACCCUGCGGCGAAUGAGUCCCUGCCCUUUGUACACACCGCCCGUCGCUGCUACCGAUUGGGUUUUGCGGUUACGAGUCCAGAGGUUUUGGCCACUGCCUGCUUCACAGCAGGCGGGAACCGUAGCCGAAGUUCUAAUUACCGCACGACCUAGAGGAAGCAGAAGUCGUAACAA
RNAcentral lists this ribosomal RNA (1954 nucleotides) under Colloderma robustum. Its description in RNAcentral is "SSU rRNA". It matches the Rfam family "Eukaryotic small subunit ribosomal RNA". Lineage: Eukaryota; Evosea; Eumycetozoa; Stemonitida; Stemonitidae. The record is from RNAcentral.